RNAcentral lists this unclassified non-coding RNA (312 nucleotides) under Ceratobasidium sp. RNAcentral's name for it is "partial contains 5.8S ribosomal RNA, internal transcribed spacer 2, and large subunit ribosomal RNA". Lineage: Eukaryota; Fungi; Basidiomycota; Agaricomycetes; Cantharellales; Ceratobasidiaceae. The record is from RNAcentral.
CGCACCUUGCGCUCCUUGGUAUUCCUCGGAGCAUGCCUGUUUGAGUAUCAUGAAAUCUUCAAAAUAAGUCUUUUGUUAAUUCGAUUGACUUCAUUUUGGACUUGGAGGUCUGCAGAUUCACUUCUGCUCCUCUUAAAUUGAUUAGCUGGAUCUCCGUGAACUCGGUUCCACUCGGCGUGAUAAGUAUCACUCGCUGAGGACACUGUAAAAGGUGGCCGGGGUUGCAGACGAACCGCUUCUAAUAGUCUAUUAACUUAGACAAUUUACUUAUGAUCUGAUCUCAAAUCAGGUAGGACUACCCGCUGAACUUAA